GCCUAUAAUCUAGCCCACUCCCCCCCCCAUGACCCUUCUAUAUUACAAUUUUUAAAUAAAACAUUUUAAUGCCUUAGUACAGGAGAUCAAAAAGACUCACAGGCGCCUCAGAUAAAGUACCGUAAGGGAACGAUGAAAUAUUAAUGAAACAACUACAAGCAAAAAACAGCAGAGAUUUCUCCUCG
RNAcentral lists this ribosomal RNA (185 nucleotides) under Hylarana chalconota (copper-cheeked frog). RNAcentral's name for it is "partial 16S ribosomal RNA". The record is from RNAcentral. Lineage: Eukaryota; Metazoa; Chordata; Amphibia; Anura; Ranidae.